GUCCACGCCCUAAACGUUGAAUACUCGACCUUAGCGAUAUACAGUUAGGGUCCAAGCGAAAGCGUUAAGUAUUCCACCUGGGAAGUACGUUCGCAAGAAUGAAACUCAAAGGAAUUGACGGGGCCCGCACAAGCGGAGGAGCAUGUGGUUUAAUUCGAUGAUACGCGAGGAACCUUACCUGGGCUUGAAUGUGAGUGACCGGUGCCGAAAGGUACUUUCCCUUCGGGGCACAAACAAGGUGCUGCAUGGCUGUCGU
RNAcentral lists this ribosomal RNA (256 nucleotides) under uncultured bacterium. RNAcentral's name for it is "partial 16S ribosomal RNA". It matches the Rfam family "Bacterial small subunit ribosomal RNA", at positions 793 to 1055 of the family's 1533-position model. The record is from RNAcentral.